GGUUGGAGGUGAUUUGGUGGGCUGGAGGAAGGUGGCCACGGGUGAGGAGAGAGGGAAAAAGGGUUUGGGGGGUGCGGAGGCAGGAGGUGAGGGGGGGAGAGGUGGUCGGAGGUUGAUCCGGCCGGACAAUGGAAGAGAGGGAUGGCCGGAGACGGAGCCUGUCUCUCGCUUUCGGUUUCUCCCGCUCGCUCGCUCGCAGUUUCUCUCUCUG
This 211-nucleotide long non-coding RNA is filed under the name Actinidia chinensis (golden kiwifruit). RNAcentral's name for it is "long non-coding RNA (ACHI_LNC000478)". Lineage: Eukaryota; Viridiplantae; Streptophyta; Magnoliopsida; Ericales; Actinidiaceae. The record is from RNAcentral.